UACAGAGACUGCAAGCGUUAUUCGGAUUCACUGGGCGUAAAGGGUGCGCAGGCGGUUGUGUGUGUCAGGUGGGAAAGCCCGGGGCUUAACCCCGGAAUUGCGCCUGAAACUACAUGACUAGAGCAUUGGAGAGGGUAGCGGAAUUCACGGUGUAGCAGUGAAAUGCGUAGAUAUCGUGAGGAACACCAGAGGCGAAGGCGGCUACCUGGACAAUUGCUGACGCUCAGGCACGAAAGCGUGGGGAGCAAACAGG
Molecule: ribosomal RNA, 253 nt
Filed under: uncultured bacterium
Lineage: Bacteria
Description: partial 16S ribosomal RNA
Rfam family: Bacterial small subunit ribosomal RNA
Source: RNAcentral